AAUUAAAAAUUUUUAAUUUGCAUACCAAUAUGCAAAAUGGUGAAUUAGAUAUGGAUUGGGUCAAAUCCAUAUUCAAUCUGCAAACACAUGGAUUGGAUUUGGAUUGAAUUCGCCAAUCCGUGAAUUUGAUUAGAUUGAAAAUUUACAAUCUGUAAAAUUAUGGAUUGGAUAUGGAUUGAUGUCCAAUCCGCAAAAUCCGAUCUGCGAACACCCCUACAAAUGAUUUUCUAGAAAAUCACCCACCAAGGAAAAAAAAAAGUUCACUUGGUAAUUAAUUUCAUAUAACAUAACUAAGAGUAUAUAUUAGGUGGUGUUUACUUCUCAGAUUGGAGUGAGAAUUCUGAGUAGUGGGAAUCUUGAGAUUGAAAUAAGAAUCAUAAUCCCAUUUAUGUGUUUAUUUUGUCUUGGAUUGAGAAUAUAUUAUUUUAAAUUACAGUUUUAUCUUUAUUUAAAGAAUUGUAAUUUUUAAUAACGAAGUGAAUAAGAUAUAUAUUUAUAAAAUAAACUAUUUAUUUUAUUAUUAUUUUAAUUAUAUAAAUUAAUAAUAAUUAUCAAUAUUCUUAAUUAUGUAAACCAUAAUUAUUUAUUAAUGUUAAUUUUAAUUAUAUAAAUUAAAAAUUAUUGAUAAGAGCACACAAAUAUUUAAAAAAAAAAAAGAAGGGUAAAAAAGGAAGAUGAGGGAGCGGAUUUGCACUCCCAUUACCCCCAUAGGAGUGGGAAUCCCACUCCUCACUCGAUAAGUGAGUGGUACCUAAGGAGUGGGGCUCUCAUUUUCCUCCUUAAAUAAGUAUGUGAAUUUUGAAGUGAGAAGAAUCAACACUCCUCACUCCCACUUAAACAAGUAAAUACAAUAUUAAGAAAGUACUUGGUACUCCAUGUAUGCAGAACCAAAAGCCAAUUGCUUACUUACAGACCAAUUAAAUAGGAUUGCAUGAGUGGCAAGCGAACAACCAAAAGCCAAGAAAUGAGUAUGCUAAUUAGUAGGGUCUCAAAUAAGAUUUUGUGGAUUGGACAUCAAUCCAUAUAUGAUCUACGAUUUUGCGGGUCAUAGAUUUUUAAAUUAUAAAUUUUCAAUCCAAUCCAUUUCAUAGAUUGGUGAAAUUCAAUCCAAAUGUUUUUGGAUCAGAUG
Molecule: long non-coding RNA, 1129 nt
Filed under: Citrus x clementina
Lineage: Eukaryota; Viridiplantae; Streptophyta; Magnoliopsida; Sapindales; Rutaceae
Description: Citrus clementina (C. clementina) long non-coding RNA (CCLE_LNC003491)
Source: RNAcentral